ACAGCAGUAGCCGCGGUAAAACGGAGGGAGUUAGCGUUGUUCGGAAUUACUGGGCGUAAAGCGCACGUAGGCGGCUUUGUAAGUCAGAGGUGAAAGCCUGGAGCUCAACUCCAGAACUGCCUUUGAGACUGCAUCGCUUGAAUCCAGGGGAGGUGAGUGGAAUUCCGAGUGUAGAGGUGAAAUUCGUAGAUAUUCGGAAGAACACCAGUGGCGAAGGCGGCUCACUGGACUGGUAUUGACGCUGAGGUGCGAAAGCGUGGGGAGCAAACAGGAUUAGAUACCCCCGUAGUCCCUGUCUCUUAUAC
RNAcentral lists this ribosomal RNA (305 nucleotides) under uncultured bacterium. RNAcentral describes it as "partial 16S ribosomal RNA". It matches the Rfam family "Bacterial small subunit ribosomal RNA", at positions 508 to 807 of the family's 1533-position model. The record is from RNAcentral.